AUUGAACGCUGGCGGCGUGCUUAACACAUGCAAGUCGAGCGGUAACAGGUGUAGCAAUACAUGCUGACGAGCGGCGAACGGGUGAGUAAUGCUUCGGAAUCUGCCCAGUAAUGGGGAAUAACUAGCCGAAAGGUUAGCUAAUACCGCAUACGACCCCUUUUUGUAAUGAAGGGGGGUGAAAGCGGGGGAUCGCAAGACCUCGCGUUAUUGGAUGAGCCGAAGUCGGAUUAGCUAGUUGGUAGGGUAACGGCCUACCAAGGCGACGAUCCGUAGCUGGUCUGAGAGGACGACCAGCCACACUGGGACUGAGACACGGCCCAGACUCCUACGGGAGGCAGCAGUGGGGAAUAUUGGACAAUGGGGGCAACCCUGAUCCAGCGACGCCGCGUGUGUGAAGAAGGCCUGCGGGUUGUAAAGCACUUUUAGUGGGGAGGAAACGCUCAGACCUAACACGUCUGGGAACUGACUUAACCCAAAGAAAAAGCACCGGCUAACUCUGUG
This 501-nucleotide ribosomal RNA is filed under the name uncultured organism. RNAcentral's name for it is "bacterial SSU rRNA". It matches the Rfam family "Bacterial small subunit ribosomal RNA", at positions 30 to 507 of the family's 1533-position model. The record is from RNAcentral.